Long non-coding RNA from Equus caballus (horse), 749 nucleotides. RefSeq lists it as uncharacterized. Lineage: Eukaryota; Metazoa; Chordata; Mammalia; Perissodactyla; Equidae. The record is from RefSeq and is a predicted model, not a curated record.
UGUGUGUAGGUCCGCACCCAGGAUCCAAACCUGCGAACUCUGGGCUGCCCAAGCAGAGUGCACAAACUUAACCACUACGCCACUGGGCUGGCCCCCUUCAUUCUUGAAUAUGCACUUUCCAUGAGACACAGGACUUUUUGGGCCCUUCUGACGUUGUUAAUAGUGAGUCCAUGUUGACUCAUUCCAAGAUUGGAAUAUCAUGCCUGUCAAAAAGGAGCCAGCAGACCCAAAGUGGAGUCACUUGUGCUAAACCCCAUAUCAGCAAAUCAAGACUCAAUACCUGACCUAAUUACAGUUUGAAGCUCUCUUGGAGUGUAACCUUUGACCAGUCAACUUGGAAUGACCUGGUCAGCACUAGUGAGAUUUAGUGGCAGUGGCAGGACCAGAGGAAACUUUUGAUGGCUUUGGGGAUGAGGGAGACAGGUGUGGUACCAAGGAACCCUGUUGAGUUCUCCGCCUUUCUUGCCAUUUUCAGGGAGAUGGGUAAGUUCCUCUCACUUCUGAGCCCUCCUCUCUUUGCAUUGAGCUCCUGAUCUAAUUGGCUUUCCACGGUUCUGCAUUUGACUGGAAUCCCUCCCCCAAUUCUCCCUCACUCUCCCCAUAUUCCACAUGGGGAACUACUGGUGGUUAUCUGACUAGGUCUGGAGUUAGGCUGGGUCUUAUUUGAGCUGGACUGGGUCCAGUGUGAGGCAUCAGGUGAAUAAAAUUUUGUUUUAAGUAAAAGAUAGUGACUAAUGGGAAUCAGAAUU